GCUCAGUUGACUAAGAAUUUAAUUAAUGGGUCAUACAUGAGAUUUUAAAUUUGAACUAUACGUUUCUACAAAAAAUGUACAAAGCGAACAACUAUUUUUUCCCAAAAGAAAGGGAACACAGUCCUUUAGUAUAUUACCAUAAAAUUUUACAUAAUGUAUCUGAAUUAGGAAUCGUUGUGCGUCGGCUAUCCGAACUUUUAAGAUUUAGAUUUUACAAUCUAAGUCUUCCAAUUUAUUUGAUUUGAGUCAGUCAGCGGUAUUUUUACUUCAAAAUUUUAAUCUGUCGUUUCUUUUUACGGAUUUAGUUAGUGUACUUCCUUUAAUUCUCACGAUUAUAAAUUUAUUAAAAUAAGUAAUAAACUUAAAUUUUUGAAGUUAAAAUACUGUUAACCGGUUAAAAUCAACCAAAUUGAAAAUGUUGGAUAGUAAAAUUAAAAUUUCAAAAAAUCGAGUAGCUG
This 458-nucleotide long non-coding RNA is filed under the name Ananas comosus (pineapple). Its description in RNAcentral is "long non-coding RNA (ACOM_LNC014208)". Lineage: Eukaryota; Viridiplantae; Streptophyta; Magnoliopsida; Poales; Bromeliaceae. The record is from RNAcentral.